UACGUAGGGCGCAAGCGUUGUCCGGAAUUAUUGGGCGUAAAGAGCUCGUAGGUGGUUUGUCGCGUCUGCCGUGAAAGCCCGGGGCUUAACUCCGGGUCUGCGGUGGAUACGGGCAGACUAGAGUGUGGUAGGGGAGACUGGAAUUCCUGGUGUAGCGGUGAAAUGCGCAGAUAUCAGGAGGAACACCUGCGGCGAAGGCGGGUUGCUGGGCUGACACUGACGCUGAUGCGCGAAAGCCAGGGGAGCGAACGGG
RNAcentral lists this ribosomal RNA (253 nucleotides) under uncultured bacterium. RNAcentral describes it as "partial 16S ribosomal RNA". It matches the Rfam family "Bacterial small subunit ribosomal RNA", at positions 524 to 776 of the family's 1533-position model. The record is from RNAcentral.